Molecule: ribosomal RNA, 561 nt
Filed under: Triticum aestivum (bread wheat)
Lineage: Eukaryota; Viridiplantae; Streptophyta; Magnoliopsida; Poales; Poaceae
Description: partial small subunit ribosomal RNA
Source: RNAcentral
AUGAAGCUGCACAUGAGGGGCCAGCUGGUCUGGGAGCACCUCUCUGGUGCUCUGCCUUGUCCCCUGCUGCCCACUCCUCCAGCUGAGUUGGCCUUCCCUGUUGAUGCCGAUGAAACCAAGCAACGUGAGAUGCUAGAUGCUUUUGAAGAGGCCACUGAAGAGUAUCAGAAUCAACUCCACUUAUACAAGCAAUGGACAAAUGAUGAUGCUCGAGCCUCUUCUAUCUUGGUGAACAGCAUGGAUGUUGAUCUCACCAUGGAUGUGGUGGCCCUUACCACUGCAUAUCAGAUGUGGGAGCACCUUCGCCAUCGCUAUGAGUCUACAGGGGAUGCCAUGUAUCUCUCUGUUGUUCGUCAAGAGCAACAACUACAACAGGGAGAUGCUACUGUGGAUGAUUUCUACAAGGAGAUGUCGGCGGUGUGGCGCCAAUUGGACUCUCUGGGAGCUGAUGUUUGUCGCAGAUGUCAGUGUUGUGUGCGGCAACAAGCUAAGCUGGAGGUUCGUCGCCUCUACGACUUCCUCACUCGCCUCCGGCCGGAGUUCGAGCAGAGUCGUGCUUAG